RNAcentral lists this long non-coding RNA (1069 nucleotides) under Nicotiana benthamiana. RNAcentral's name for it is "long non-coding RNA (NBEN_LNC012056)". Lineage: Eukaryota; Viridiplantae; Streptophyta; Magnoliopsida; Solanales; Solanaceae. The record is from RNAcentral.
CUGAGUUGUUAACUAUCAAUAAUAACAAGAUACCCCAUAUAUUCCGACAUAUAUAUAAUUGUUCAUUAGAAAUGUUAUAUAAUGCUCAUAAGGUAUAGGGUCGACGACCCCCUCUUCCAAAAUAUAUUGCAAGUUUCCUCACAAAAAAAUUAAGUACAUUUCUUUUUAGAAAGAAUACUAUUUUUCUUUAGAUAGGCUAUUCUUUUGAUUGUAAGAUUCUUUGUGAGUGAGGUUUAUCGAAGGGUUGAAACAAUUUGUUGGCAAGAUGGAACUAUUUUUCACUCAACCCUUACGCAUUUGAGGAAGAGACUGGAAUCGAAGAAGAUCAGAUUCAUCACAUACGAGUAGUUCUUAACAGAGCGAAAGCGGUCCUAUAGUUCGUAUAUUUAAACGUCACUAUAUUACGGAUUUGCUGCAUUCAAAAAGUUAAAGAAAAAGACAAAAAUCUAGUAGUUGGUUACUUAGGAAAAAAAUUCUGUUGAAAGAGGUUGUUGUAUGCAUCUCUUCGCCUUUCUUGCACUCCCAUGUAGGGUAAUACAGUAAGAAAAAUUUAUGUUUUUACAAUUAUGUGAGUACUAUGGUGUUAAUAUAGUUAAAUCUAUCAAUUAUAAAGGUAAUAACUUGAAGGAAAAUAUAAAUGAAGUAUUAACUAUCCGAAAUUAAAGUUUAAUAUUUAUACAUGCCCUAAUAAUUUUAGAUUUCAGAUCGAAUCGGAUCGUAUUAAAAUUAUACCAAUAGGAAUACGAUCCGAAAGACGACAUUUUAAUAAACGCAAUCUGAAAUCCAAAAUUGAAUGGAUCAGUUCGAAUUUCGGAUAUCCGAUCCAAACGAACAACCCUACUCCCAUGCGCCUAAAAACGAUUGUAGUUAUAUACCCUACGGUGUUAGCUGCUAGGGGAGCUAAAAUGUAGAGUUGCACAAACCGAACCGAAAAUUCGCACCAAAUCGAAAAGUCAAACCAAAUCGAUUAAAAAUCCGACUAGGUUUGGUAUUCAGUUAAAAACCAGAACCAAACCGACAUAUAAAUAUAUAAUUUUUAUAUACUUUUAAGACUCUAUGUAGAAGUUUC